UACGUAGGGGGCGAGCGUUGUCCGGAUUUAUUGGGCGUAAAGAGCUCGUAGGUGGUUUGGUAAGUCGGAUGUGAAAUCUCCAGGCUCAACCUGGAGGGGUCAUUCGAUACUGCCAUGACUAGAGUUCGGUAGGGGAGUGUGGAAUUCCUGGUGGAGCGGUGAAAUGCGCAGAUAUCAGGAGGAACACCCGUAGCGAAGGCGGCUCUCUAUCUCGAUUCUGACGCUGAGGCGCGAAAGCUAGGGGAGCAAACGGG
RNAcentral lists this ribosomal RNA (254 nucleotides) under uncultured bacterium. Its description in RNAcentral is "partial 16S ribosomal RNA". It matches the Rfam family "Bacterial small subunit ribosomal RNA", at positions 524 to 776 of the family's 1533-position model. The record is from RNAcentral.